CAGAGUUCGUGCCCUCACGGGUAGAUCUCCCACCCUGUGUUAUUAUACCUUUGUUGCUUUGGCGGGCCGCCCUCGGCUACCGGCCCCGGCUGGUACGCGCCCGCCAGAGGACCCCAAACUCUUAGUUAUUAUUGUCGUCUGAGUACUAUAAAAUAGUUA
This 159-nucleotide unclassified non-coding RNA is filed under the name uncultured Dermateaceae. Its description in RNAcentral is "sequence contains ITS1". The record is from RNAcentral. Lineage: Eukaryota; Fungi; Ascomycota; Leotiomycetes; Helotiales; Dermateaceae.